GAGUUUGAUCGUGGCUCAGGAUGAACGCUAGCGGCAGGCUUAAUACAUGCAAGUCGAGGGGCAGCAUGAGUAGCAAUACUUGAUGGCGACCGGCAAACGGGUGCGGAACACGUACGCAACCUUCCUUUAAGUGGAGAAUAGCUCCCGGAAACGGGAAUUAAUACUCCGUAACAUUAUGAUGUGGCAUCACUUUAUAAUUAUAGAUUUAUCGCUUAAAGAUGGGCGUGCGCCUGAUUAGGCAGUUGGCGGGUAACGGCCCACCAAACCUACGAUCAGUAACUGGCGUGAGAGCGCGACCAGUCACACGGGCACUGAGACACGGGCCCGACUCCUACGGGAGGCAGCAGUAAGGAAUAUUGGUCAAUGGACGCAAGUCUGAACCAGCCAUGCCGCGUGGAGGAUGAAGGUCCUCUGGAUUGUAAACUUCUUUUAUUUGGGACGAAAAAGAUUUUUCAAAUCGCUUGACGGUACCAGAUGAAUAAGCACCGGCUAACUCCGUGCCAGCCGCCGCGGUAAC
RNAcentral lists this ribosomal RNA (517 nucleotides) under uncultured Sphingobacterium sp. Its description in RNAcentral is "bacterial SSU rRNA". It matches the Rfam family "Bacterial small subunit ribosomal RNA", at positions 9 to 524 of the family's 1533-position model. The record is from RNAcentral. Lineage: Bacteria; Pseudomonadati; Bacteroidota; Sphingobacteriia; Sphingobacteriales; Sphingobacteriaceae.